Molecule: ribosomal RNA, 253 nt
Filed under: uncultured bacterium
Lineage: Bacteria
Description: partial 16S ribosomal RNA
Rfam family: Bacterial small subunit ribosomal RNA
Source: RNAcentral
UACGAAGGGGGCUAGCGUUGUUCGGAAUUACUGGGCGUAAAGCGCACGUAGGCGGUGUUCCAUGUCAGAGGUGAAAGCCUGGGGCUCAACUCCAGAAUUGCCUUUGAAACGGGGACGCUUGAGUCCGAGAGAGGAUGGCGGAAUUCCUAGUGUAGAGGUGAAAUUCGUAGAUAUUAGGAAGAACACCGGUGGCGAAGGCGGCCAUCUGGCUCGGUACUGACGCUCAGGUUCGAAAGCGUGGGGAGCAAACAGG